RNAcentral lists this non-coding RNA (94 nucleotides) under unclassified sequences. RNAcentral describes it as "SAM-I-IV sequence". It matches the Rfam family "SAM-I/IV (S-adenosyl methionine) riboswitch aptamer". Rfam says of the family: It is found upstream of a number of genes which code for proteins involved in methionine or cysteine biosynthesis. It has been found mostly in the order Actinomycetales. The record is from Rfam by way of RNAcentral.
AUUAUUCAUCAAGAGUAAGAUUAAUUUCUUCUCCAACCUGCCAGCUCCGGCAAGGUGGAAAAAUGAUGAGGCAAUCAGCAAUAUAGGAGAAAGG